This is a non-coding RNA of Cyprinodon tularosa, 360 nucleotides long. The record is from the annotation of a RefSeq genome assembly. NCBI's taxonomy places the organism in Eukaryota, Metazoa, Chordata, Actinopteri, Cyprinodontiformes, Cyprinodontidae.
AUGAUGAUGUUACUGAGUCUACUGCUGACCAUCCUGGAGCUCCUGGUUCAGGAUUCAUCAGGAGACAUAAUCAUGACUCAGACUCCAGGAUCUCUGUCUGUUUCUCCAGGACAGUCUGUCUCCAUCAGGUGUAAAGCCAGUGAGCAUGUAGACAAUGAGGUAGACUGGUACCUUCAGAGACCUGGAGAAGCUAUAAAACUUCUAAUUUAUUGGACAUCAAACCGUCAGCCUGGAGUUUCUGAUCGUUUCAGUGGAAGUCAGUCUGGAACUGAUUUCACUCUGACCAUCAGCAGAGUUCAGGCUGAAGAUGCAGGAGUUUAUCACUGUCAGCAGGACUGGAGCACACCGUUCACACAGUGA